AGAGUUUGAUCAUGGCUCAGGACGAACGCUGGCGGCGUGCCUAAAACAUGCAAGUCGAACGAACUAGCAAUAGUUAGUGGCGAACGGCGGAGUAAUACAUAAGUAACGUGCCCCAAUGUCCGGGACAAACGCAGAAAUGCUAUAAAUACCGGAUGUGGCCGAGGAGAGGCAUCUCUCUUCGAUUAAACGGUUUUUCGCUUUGGGAGCGGCUUAUGACACAUCAGGUAGUUGGUGGGGUAACGGCCUACCAAGCCGACGACGUGUAGGGGGUCUGAGAGGAUGAUCCCCCCGAGUGGGACUGAGACACGGCCCACACACCUACGGGUGGCAGCAGUUGGGAAUCUUGCACAAUGGGGGCAACCCUGAUGCAGCGACGCUGCGUGGAGGAUGAAGGAUCUAGGUCUGUAAACUCCUUUUUCACGGAAAGACUUAGGACGGUACCGUGAGAAUAAGCUCCGGCUAACUACGUGCCAGCAGCCGCGGUAAUACA
Molecule: ribosomal RNA, 490 nt
Filed under: uncultured bacterium
Lineage: Bacteria
Description: bacterial SSU rRNA
Rfam family: Bacterial small subunit ribosomal RNA
Source: RNAcentral